CAUUUCAUCACCAUCAAUCAUCAUACAUCCUCGGCUAUUAUAAGUAAACAAAUCGACUCUUUCGUUUUUCUCCCGUUCACACAUACUACUGUAUAAGAAAACUGAGAGAAGAAGAAGGAAGAGUGAGAGUGAUGGGUUCUUCUGUUCGCUGCAAAUCAUCAUAUCCAUGGCUAUACUCUGACAACACCUUCGAAUCCUCCGCCGAUGAAUCUGGAAUCAAUGAAGCAUGGUUAGAGAUCUCUAGCCGCAAAUCGAGAGUCUGCGGCGAAGGUAGUGUGAAGAAGCUGGAGAGGAAGAAGAGCCAGGUGUUGCUCGAAGGUUACGUCGAGACUAGUAGUGCUUCUUCUGUUUCCGCAGACGAUGAUCAAAAAGAAGAUCUGACGAGAUCCAAGAGUUUGACGGAUGACGAUCUCGAAGAUCUCAAAGGUUGUUUAGAUCUAGGUUUUGGUUUCAGCUACGACGAGAUCCCUGAGCUCUGCAACACUUUGCCUGCUUUAGAGCUUUGCUACUCCAUGAGCCAGAAGUUCUUAGACGAUAAACAUCGCUCACCGGAUCAUUCGUCCGCCGACGAUUCUCCGUCGCCUUCACCGGUCACCUCCCCUGCUCCGAUUGCCAAUUGGAAGAUCUCUAGCCCUGGUGAUAAUCCGGAUGAUGUGAAAGCAAGGCUCAAAUACUGGGCACAAGCAGUUGCAUGUACUGUUCAAUUGUGCAGCUGAAGAAAUGAAUCCGAAUCAGAAAAAUUCUUGGGGUAUGAAGAUGUUCUUACCUGGACAAUAUUUUGUCAGCCAUUGUUAGCUAAAGGAGGAGAGAUCUCAGAAUUCGAAGUAGUGAGAGCCUUUCGCCUAACUUGACUGGUCAUGUUUCUGCGGAGUGGUAUGUAUGAGACUUGUCUUUUACGAGAGCUGUCACUAACUUGUUAUGUGGACCUCUACUUGCUGAGUCUUGACUCGUUCCAUUUUUGUGAAUGUGUGUUGAAGCUUUACACUCUUCUGGCUAAUUUGGCGAUGCUCCGUAAACAUUUAUGAAGAAUCCAAUGGGAGGAAAAAUAAGAAGAUUGAUUGGAGAUGUUAUGCAGAUUUAACAAUGUUACGGACUUCUACUCAACAAUCAAGAGUCUUGAGCGGACUAAGCUUUUCGAAUUACAUAGCCGUCUAAUUAAUGAAAUUCUGAACAUUAAAGUCGUGGCAUGUAGGAGUAUUAUUGUACCAGUUAGUCUAAAAUGUACUUAUAACUUUAUAAGUGUUAUAUACUUGCCCAAUUACAAAUCC
Molecule: RNA transcript, 1268 nt
Organism: Camelina sativa (false flax)
Lineage: Eukaryota; Viridiplantae; Streptophyta; Magnoliopsida; Brassicales; Brassicaceae
Source: RefSeq, a predicted model, not a curated record